RNAcentral lists this unclassified non-coding RNA (219 nucleotides) under soil metagenome. RNAcentral describes it as "partial contains 5.8S ribosomal RNA, internal transcribed spacer 2, and large subunit ribosomal RNA". The record is from RNAcentral.
AAGACUAUAGACCUGCGGAGUACCUGCGGAGGGAUCAUUACUGAGUACCGGGUCUCUCAGGCCCUUACUCCCACCCUUUGUGUACCUCAACCUUUCUUCAGUUGCCUUGGUGGGCUAUCCUCUUCGGGGGACCCACCAGGGGGACUUUCCAAAACCCUUGAUAACAGAGUUGUCUGAGAACAAAUUCAAAUGAAUUAAAACUUUCAACAACGGAUCUCU